Molecule: long non-coding RNA, 603 nt
Filed under: Capsicum annuum
Lineage: Eukaryota; Viridiplantae; Streptophyta; Magnoliopsida; Solanales; Solanaceae
Description: long non-coding RNA (CANN_LNC003484)
Source: RNAcentral
AUUGAUGAGUUCUUGGAUGUCAUUGAUGCCAUUGUUUGUGAAGAAGAAGAAAAAUUGAAGAGGAAGAACGAAAAAUGUCAUUGAUGAGUUUUUGGAUGUCAUUAUUUGUAAAAAUGUCAUUGAUGAGUUCUUGGAUAUCAUUGAUGCCAUUGUUUGUGAAGAAGAAGAAGAAGGAAAAGAAGAAGAAGAAAAAUUAAAAUAAUAUAUAUUUAUUUAAAGAAAUAUUAAAAUUAAAUUUUUAAUAAAAAAGAUCGGUUCUCGCUUUCUUUAAAGAGAGUGAAACACAUACUCUUGCCGCGUCAGCGUUUGGGGGUAUAUAUUUUAUUUUUAAAUAGUUUAGGGGGUCAUAGGAUCCUUUAAAAUGUAUGUGUGUAGUUAAAAUUUGGGGUAAAGGUUUGGGGGAUAGUUGAUCAUUUUCUCUUUUUAUUUUGAAAUAAAUUUUUAUUUACUUAGCUUUAAAUUUUGACUUUAUUUAGCUUUAAAAUUGAUUGUUACUUUUUUUUUUUUCUUUCUUGUGUUGUUUAUGUUGACAAUGAUUUAAUUUGAUUAUUGUUAACAUUUAGUUUGUUACACAGUUAUGUAUGUUAACUAUGUAUUUUUUUA